Molecule: ribosomal RNA, 216 nt
Filed under: Glomeromycotina sp.
Lineage: Eukaryota; Fungi; Glomeromycota
Description: partial small subunit ribosomal RNA
Rfam family: Eukaryotic small subunit ribosomal RNA (bases 40-216)
Source: RNAcentral
GGGUCAGUAGGUUGGUCGUGCCACCGGUACGUACUGGUCUCACUGAUUCCUCCUUCCUGAAGAACCGUAAUGCCAUUAAUUUAGUGUUGCGGGGAAACAGGACUGUUACUUUGAAAAAAUUAGAGUGUUUAAAGCAAGCUAACGCUUGAAUACAUUAGCAUGGGAUAAUGAAAUAGGACGAUCGAUCCUAUUUUGUUGGUUUCUAGGAUUGACGUA